Long non-coding RNA from Anopheles arabiensis, 1285 nucleotides. RefSeq lists it as uncharacterized. The transcript has 4 exons. NCBI's taxonomy places the organism in Eukaryota, Metazoa, Arthropoda, Insecta, Diptera, Culicidae. The record is from RefSeq and is a predicted model, not a curated record.
UUGUGCAUGUGCUGCGUGUGCCGUAGGAAGAUGGCUCCAGUCGCGAUUAUCGUCAGAAAAACAAAGACACGCCAACCACCAGUCAUCUUUUUCGCUUUGCAUCGAGUGUGUUCCACCCAGCGUCCGGGGAGUGUGUUUGUGUAUUUCUGCUGGCGAAUGUGUCUAUCGAACGAACCGGAUAGAAGAACCGGGGCGCAUAUCUGACGCGUAACGCACGAUAGCUGCUCCGAAAUCGUAUCCCAGCGAGGAAGAAACCCGCUCCGAGCAUUAGAUGAAGCUCAAGAACCUCCUUCUGCCUUUUCCCAGCCCCUCGAACGUAAAGCGAACCUGGAAGUGGGUACUGGUGUGAUGUCCCCGAAACGAGCAAUUGUUUGUGAUUAAUGCAAAUUUCUGAACCAGAGGGAAACAAAAAAAUCGUAAGAUAAAAUCAACGUACUCUGGAGCGAAUUCAUUCGUGUGCGAAUUUGAACGGUACGGCUGAUGGCUGCAGCUUCGGAUCACACCCCCUACCUGGCUGUUCGAUAUCGAACUCGUUCAAUAUCACAUUUCAACCGAAUGCCAGACACUGAGCAGCAAAAACUACGAACGAAGUUGACCUUUGCAAUGGGGCAGGAGGCCUUGUCGUGCACCAAAAAUUUCGAGAAGAAAGAUCACGAUAAGAGCCGUCCGAUGUGCUCCCACCCAAAAAUGAGUCCCUUUCCACUGAUGGACUCGUUGGAAACCUUGCUCCAGAAGUCUGGUCCGGUGCCUGGGUUUUGGACAUUUCGAGAUAAUCGAAUCCUUGCCCACCGUGCCUCCCCCGUGCCCUAGGUAACCGAUAAUUGACGCUCGGGAAAAUGGACGCGCCCGGACGCUGAUAGGAAGAUUUGUUCGUUAUCGGACGCAAACGAAACCAGAAUGAAUGUCACGAGCUGGACGAAGGGAGUUGCAGGGUUGGAAGGGUUUUGUGGGGUCGAUCGAUCGGUCCAGCCGUUAUCGAGCUUGUCCGAUCAACCAUAAAAGCCAUUCCAGGGGUCAUGUUGAUGCUUUUUGGGAAGAAUCUGGGUUCGGUCCCGAAAUCAGACAAUUGGAAGGACUGAGGAUACCGGACCAGAGGGUGAUGAUUUUGGAAGAAUCAGCCACAAAACAGGGGCUCGCAAAUUGCAUGCUUAGGACGAAGUAGGGAACAUGCCAAAAUGCAAUCCAAAAUCAGUGAUGCACCUGUACGUGUGGUGGUCGACUAUCAUAAGCCAUCAAUCAAGAGCCACGGGGUAGAAUCACGUAUAAACCCACCUCCACGUCCACU